CACAUCCUGACCAGUAAAAGGGGUUGUUUGUUAUUGUAGUUUGGUCAGGGCGUGGCAGGGGGUGUUUGUUUUAGGUGUUUCGGGGUUUUUUGGUUAAUGUUCUAUGUUGGCAUAUUUCUAUGUUCGUUCUAGUUUUCUAUUUCUAUGUUUAGUUUAUUGGAUUGACCUUCAAUUGGAGGCAGCUGUUCCUCGUUGUGUGUUUAUUUUGGUUUUCUUCUAAAUAAAGAAGAUGAGCAUACACAUUCCCGCUGCGUUUUGGUCCACUCCUUACGACGAACGUGACAGCCAGCUAGCUCACUCAGCCAGACAGUUUUAUUUAGCUAACAUUAGCUAGCUAGCAAGCUACUGUAACUGUUAUUGCAGCUUUCUGUUUGUAUGUAGUUGCACUUCAAUGGCAUCCCUCGGGGAGAUUUUAUUUUAUCUUUCCAACCAGGCGAAGUACUAUGAAGACAGCACUGAUCUCGGCAAGAGGCGCAACAUGCAGAGAAAUUCACAAUUCAGGGUAAUCAUAUCUACCUACCUACGGGGGAAGGAUGGCCAGCAACACAGGGAGGUGAUUUUUACUAAAGAAGAGAAGGAGGCCGUGCUGACCGAGAUGUAUGCUGGUCAUUUCGGAGUGAAGCGCAUGAUUGCCAAAAUCAACCUACAUUUCUUCUGGGCAAGUAAAAUAACCUUUUGUUUAUUAAUCACAUUAUAUUAUAUCUGAAAUUAUUAUGAGUUCAAUGAAUGUCAUAUCAGAGAGCACCCUGUCUAGCCUGCCAGAAGAUUGAGAGGGCGAAGACUGUGGCACUGGAAUUGAAGCCCAUCAAAGUUGUUUCACCAUGGCAUAUGAUCGGAGCUUGGGGUUCUACCCAACACCCAGACUUGGAUCCACCUGAUGUCCUUCAUUACCAACCACCCUCCAACUUUUCAUUACAUCAUCUACAGAUACUGUUGUUGUCAUGAUGUCAUUAUCUGCUAAGAAGGGUUUCUUGCUCUAUCAUACCGGGCACAUAAUAUGUGAGAUACACAGAUUAACUAAAAACACUAGCACUGCAAACACCCAGAACAAAGAGAGCAGCAUUGCCUGGACUUUGCAGUCUACCUCUUCAAGUCCCCCUUCUGAGACUGGCUGCCUGUUGAGAACAAGUGACAGGCAGAACCUCCCACCCACACAGCAAUCACCUCCUCUAUAUUACAAACACCAGAAUUCAGUAUUUUAGUCUAUGAUUGUCAUGUGAGUGCACC
This 1227-nucleotide long non-coding RNA is filed under the name Salmo salar (Atlantic salmon). Its description in RNAcentral is "lncRNA (ENSSSAG00000088827.1)". Lineage: Eukaryota; Metazoa; Chordata; Actinopteri; Salmoniformes; Salmonidae. The record is from RNAcentral.